RNAcentral lists this non-coding RNA (184 nucleotides) under uncultured Roseburia sp. Its description in RNAcentral is "Lysine riboswitch". It matches the Rfam family "Lysine riboswitch aptamer". From Rfam's summary of the family: Riboswitches are metabolite binding domains within certain messenger RNAs that serve as precision sensors for their corresponding targets. Allosteric rearrangement of mRNA structure is mediated by ligand binding, and this results in modulation of gene expression. This family includes riboswitches that sense lysine in a number of genes involved in lysine metabolism, including lysC. Lineage: Bacteria; Bacillati; Bacillota; Clostridia; Lachnospirales; Lachnospiraceae. The record is from RNAcentral.
UGAUAGAGGUUGCGUACUUUAUGAGUAGUUUUCCGGAUGUGGCAGGCACAAAAGAAGGAGAAUGAAAGGAAAGCGCGCCGAAAGGGUAUAAUUCCUGCGGUUAUGCCUUUGGGCGUAAGGUGAAGAAUCUUACGACUGUCAUCUUGGGUUUCGUUUACGGCGGAGAAGAUGGGGCGCUAUCGGA